AAGAGAAAAUGAAGGCUGUUGCGCCGAUGCUGGUCUGGAGCACCACUCAGAGGCCUUGUUGUCGAGUGGGAGGAUCAGAAAGUAGUGGGAGGCGACGCCGAGUGGAUCGACGAUAGUUGUGCUGUGUUUGGUGUCCAAGAGCUGGCGGCAGGAAGCGAAGGUCAUCGAGGUCGCAGUCCACAGAUCCUCGUCCCUGUUGUGCCACCCCACAGAUGAUUUCCUCUUUGGUCGCCCCUCCUCACGGACGCUUCAAAACGUCAUCUCAGCACAACAUCGGUUGAGGAGAGGAUCAUUGUCGUGCGCUCGAUGGCGGGAACAGACCGAGGUCCUCAUUCGACCUUAAUUUCAAGGUCUUGAAGGAGUUCUUCAUUUUCAGUUCUGGCCAUGAACUUUAGAAUCCCUAGGCCUGAAGUUAGUCCUCUCUUCCAACUGAGCAAUAUGCAGAGCCUCUGGUAUGCGCAGUCGUGCUCUGUCGCCGCCACCUGCUACUUCAAGUCCGCCGACAGCCUCGCCGGAAACUGGGGCUUAUCCAUAGCCCGACUCAAUCUCUGCGUCGCUCUCUUCGCCAGUAUACAUGCAUCUCGUUAAUCUGUUCGUUGUACAACUUGUAGUGGAUUUUAGGUGUACGGCCAUAUUGUUGUGGAUUUUAGGAAUUCAUAGAAAAAAUGCUUAUCUGAAUUCAGGUGUACAACCAUAUUGUUGUGGAUUUUAGGUUGGAUGCUCACAUAAGAGGUGAUCUGAUUUUUCUA
Long non-coding RNA from Aegilops tauschii subsp. strangulata, 749 nucleotides. RefSeq lists it as uncharacterized. Lineage: Eukaryota; Viridiplantae; Streptophyta; Magnoliopsida; Poales; Poaceae. The record is from RefSeq and is a predicted model, not a curated record.